GGAAGGAUUUAGAUAGUUUUGAAAGGGAAAAGGUUUAGAGAGAAAAUGAAAGAGAGAAAAGAAAAGGAAGGGAGAUGCAAAAGUACUGCUAGAUUCAAGCUAAUGAUCCUAGACACAAUUUGCAAUAAGAAAACUAAAAUUCCAGCGAAAGAAUUAAUAAAGGUAGAAAGUAGAGAGACAGAUAGAGAAAAGGGGUUCUUGGCAAAUUCCAGAAAUCGUCCUAAUCUGAGGA
Molecule: unclassified non-coding RNA, 232 nt
Filed under: Hevea brasiliensis (rubber tree)
Lineage: Eukaryota; Viridiplantae; Streptophyta; Magnoliopsida; Malpighiales; Euphorbiaceae
Source: RNAcentral